Gossypium raimondii (Peruvian cotton) is the source of this 1331-nucleotide long non-coding RNA. RefSeq lists it as uncharacterized. NCBI's taxonomy places the organism in Eukaryota, Viridiplantae, Streptophyta, Magnoliopsida, Malvales, Malvaceae. The record is from RefSeq and is a predicted model, not a curated record. The transcript has 2 exons.
UUGAAAGAUAACCUCUUGGACCUGGAAUUUCUAUUUUUUUAUUUCAUCUACUAUGUUUCUGAUCAUCGAUUUGUCAAUAUUCGCUAACUUUAGUUUUUUUUAUCACUUUUAGUGCGUUCCCCUCCACUACUGCAUCACUGAACCCUAUUUCUUCCCCAAAAGUAACAGCUUGUAGAGAGGCUCUAGCUUUCACAGUGAUCGGGUCUCGAGCAUUUUCUACCGGGUAACGCAUGAAUCCAUUACCAACCCCUCGCUAUUUCUUAUUAUUAUGCCCGUUGUUGCUUUAUUUUCCUGCUGUUGAUAUGCUGCAUUAAAAUUUAUUUUGACCUACUUUGCCUCUAGGGGCCUCCAAUGUUCUUUUCUUGACUUAUAUAUGCUUUGAUGAAAUUCACUACAUCCUGAACCCUUUCCUUCUUCCCCUCAUGAUAGCAUUUAUUCCUAUUAAACCAUAUGUCCCAGAGUGAAAUGGCCAUUAUAAUACAUAUUUGCAUGUUGUUUUUGAAAAAGAGUACUAACCAAUGCUUCCACUCUUGUUCAAUAUUUGUUUGCAAGAUAUCCACACCAACCCCUUGAAAAACCAUUUUCGUGAACCUGCAGUCUCGGAAGAGGUGGGCCACAGUUUCAUCUUCCUCCAAACAGAUUGGGCAAAGCGCAUCUUCCCUAAGCCUUCGUAAUUUUAGAUUACUUAGGGUCGAUAAGUAGUUGUUUGUUAUCUUCCAUAGGUUUAUUUCUAUUUUAUUGGAUAUUGUAAGAUUCCAUAGUCUUGUAAAGUAAUUUCUUAUAUCUUUUGAAUUGGUUGUAACAUUAUUUCCCAGUAGGUGAAUAUCCUCUGUUAUUAACCAUUUGUAACCACUAUUUACUGUGUAUUCACCCGAUCUGUCCCCCCGCCAUAUUGUCUCAUCUGACUGCGUACCACUCACCAAAGGAAUCAACAAAAUUGCCUCGGCUUGUUCUAUGUUGAAUAAAUUGUAGAUGUUAUAUUGUUUUCAGGGGUAGGCAGCCACGCAUCGUUCCAUAUAUUUGUCGUUUCGCCAUUUCCUAUUCUCCAUCUCGUGCCCUUUUCUAAUAGACUACGGGCACCCCAAAUGCUACACCAGGUAAAAUAUGGGUAAGAACCUAAACUCGCACUCAUGAAAUCCCCUCGAGGGUAAUACUUAAUUUUCAUUACUCAAGUAAGUAAGCUAUUAGGAUUGGUGAUUAGUUUCCAUCCCUGUUUAGCCAACAUGGCUAUAUUAAAUUUUGAUAACUCCUUAAACCCCAUUCCCCCUUACGCUUUUGGGCUGCACAUAGAAGUUUAGCUACUCCAAUGAAUUCCUUAGUUAGAUUUCAAA